GACGAACGCUGGCGGCGUGCUUAACACAUGCAAGUCGAACGGAAAGGCCCUGCUUUUGUGGGGUGCUCGAGUGGCGAACGGGUGAGUAACACGUGAGUAACCUGCCCUUGACUUUGGGAUAACUUCAGGAAACUGGGGCUAAUACCGGAUAGGAGCUCCUGCUGCAUGGUGGGGGUUGGAAAGUUUCGGCGGUUGGGGAUGGACUCGCGGCUUAUCAGCUUGUUGGUGGGGUAGUGGCUUACCAAGGCUUUGACGGGUAGCCGGCCUGAGAGGGUGACCGGCCACAUUGGGACUGAGAUACGGCCCAGACUCCUACGGGAGGCAGCAGUGGGGAAUAUUGCACAAUGGGCGGAAGCCUGAUGCAGCAACGCCGCGUGCGGGAUGACGGCCUUCGGGUUGUAAACCGCUUUCGCCUGUGACGAAGCGUGAGUGACGGUAAUGGGUAAAGAAGCACCGGCUAACUACGUGCCAGCAGCCGCGGUGAUACGUAGGGUGCGAGCGUUGUCCGGAUUUAUUGGGCGUAAAGGGCUCGUAGGUGGUUGAUCGCGUCGGAAGUGUAAUCUUGGGGCUUAACCCUGAGCGUGCUUUCGAUACGGGUUGACUUGAGGAAGGUAGGGGAGAAUGGAAUUCCUGGUGGAGCGGUGGAAUGCGCAGAUAUCAGGAGGAACACCAGUGGCGAAGGCGGUUCUCUGGGCCUUUCCUGACGCUGAGGAGCGAAAGCGUGGGGAGCGAACAGGCUUAGAUACCCUGGUAGUCCACGCUGUAAACGGUGGGUACUAGGUGUGGGGUCCAUUCCACGGGUUCCGUGCCGUAGCUAACGCUUUAAGUACCCCGCCUGGGGAGUACGGCCGCAAGGCUAAAACUCAAAGGAAUUGACGGGGCCCCGCACAAGCGGCGGAGCAUGCGGAUUAAUUCGAUGCAACGCGUAGAACCUUACCUGGGUUUGACAUGGAUCGGGAGUGCUCAGAGAUGGGUGUGCCUCUUUUGGGGUCGGUUCACAGGUGGUGCAUGCCUGUCAUCAGCUCGUGUCGUGAGAUGUUGGGUUAAGUCCCGCAACGAGCGCAACCCUUGUUCACUGUUGCCAGCACGUUAUGGUGGGGACUCAGUGGAGACCGCCGGGGUCAACUCGGAGGAAGGUGGGGAUGACGUCAAGUCCUCAUGCCCCUUAUGUCCAGGGCUUCACGCAUGCUACAAUGGCUGGUACAGAGAGUGGCGAGCCUGUGAGGGUGAGCGAAUCUCGGAAAGCCGGUCUCAGUUCGGAUUGGGGUCUGCAACUCGACCUCAUGAAGUCGGAGUCGCUAGUAAUCGCAGAUCAGCAACGCUGCGGUGAAUACGUUCCCGGG
RNAcentral lists this ribosomal RNA (1343 nucleotides) under uncultured bacterium. RNAcentral describes it as "16S ribosomal RNA". It matches the Rfam family "Bacterial small subunit ribosomal RNA", at positions 28 to 1378 of the family's 1533-position model. The record is from RNAcentral.